RNAcentral lists this ribosomal RNA (470 nucleotides) under uncultured Corynebacterium sp. RNAcentral describes it as "bacterial SSU rRNA". It matches the Rfam family "Bacterial small subunit ribosomal RNA", at positions 916 to 1381 of the family's 1533-position model. The record is from RNAcentral. Lineage: Bacteria; Bacillati; Actinomycetota; Actinomycetes; Mycobacteriales; Corynebacteriaceae.
ACGGGGCCCGCACAAGCGGCGGAGCAUGUGGAUUAAUUCGAUGCAACGCGAAGAACCUUACCUGGGCUUGACAUACACCGGAUCGGGCUAGAGAUAGUCUUUCCCUUUGUGGCUGGUGUACAGGUGGUGCAUGGUUGUCGUCAGCUCGUGUCGUGAGAUGUUGGGUUAAGUCCCGCAACGAGCGCAACCCUUGUCUUAUGUUGCCAGCACGUGAUGGUGGGGACUCAUGAGAGACUGCCGGGGUUAACUCGGAGGAAGGUGGGGAUGACGUCAAAUCAUCAUGCCCCUUAUGUCCAGGGCUUCACACAUGCUACAAUGGUCGGUACAACGCGUGUGCGACACUGUGAGGUGAAGCCAAUCCCGUAAAAUCGGUCUCAGUCCGGAUUGGAGUCUGCAACUCGACUCCAUGAAGUUGGAAUCGCUAGUAAUCGUGGAUUCAGCACUGCCACGGUAGAAUACGUUCCGGCCUU